Molecule: ribosomal RNA, 253 nt
Filed under: uncultured bacterium
Lineage: Bacteria
Description: partial 16S ribosomal RNA
Rfam family: Bacterial small subunit ribosomal RNA
Source: RNAcentral
UACAGAGGUCCCAAGCGUUGUUCGGAUUCAUUGGGCGUAAAGGGCUCGUAGGCGGCCAACUAAGUCGGAUGUGAAAUCCCCAGGCUUAACCUGGGAACUGCAUCCGAUACUGGAUGGCUUGAAUCCGGGAGAGGGAUGCAGAAUUCCAGGUGUAGCGGUGAAAUGCGUAGAUAUCUGGAGGAAUACCGGUGGCGAAGGCGGCAUCCUGGACCGGCAUUGACGCUGAUGAGCGAAAGCCAGGGGAGCAAACGGG